GACGUAGGAUGCAAGCGUUGUUCGGAAUUAUUGGGCGUAAAGCGUGCGUAGGCGGCUUGUUAAGUCUGGUGUGAAAGCUAGGGGCUCAACCCCUGUGUUGCACUGGAAACUGGCAGGCUUGAGUGCGGUAGGGGAAGGUGGAAUUCCGAGUGUAGCGGUGAAAUGCGUAGAUAUUCGGAAGAACACCGGUGGCGAAGGCGACCUUCUGGGCCGCCACUGACGCUGAGGCACGAAAGCGUGGGGAGCAAACGGG
RNAcentral lists this ribosomal RNA (253 nucleotides) under uncultured bacterium. RNAcentral describes it as "partial 16S ribosomal RNA". It matches the Rfam family "Bacterial small subunit ribosomal RNA", at positions 524 to 776 of the family's 1533-position model. The record is from RNAcentral.